GAUGAACGCUGGCGGCGUGCCUAAUACAUGCAAGUCGAGCGAACAGACGAGGAGCUUGCUCCUCUGACGUUAGCGGCGGACGGGUGAGUAACACGUGGAUAACCUACCUAUCAGACUGGGAUAACUUCGGGAAACCGGAGCUAAUACCGGAUAAUAUAUUGAACCGCAUGGUUCAAUAGUGAAAGACGGUUUUGCUGUCACUUAUAGAUGGAUCCGCGCCGCAUUAGCUAGUUGGUAAGGUAACGGCUUACCAAGGCAACGAUGCGUAGCCGACCUGAGAGGGUGAUCGGCCACACGGGAACUGAGACUCAGUCCAGACUCCUGCGGGAGGCCGCAGUAGGGAAUCUUCCGCGAUGGUCGAAAGCCUGACAGAGCAACGCCGCGUGAGUGAUGAUGGUCUUCGGAUCGUAAAACGCUGUUGUUAGGAAAGAACAAAUGUGUAAGUAACUAUGCACAUCAUGACGGUACCUAAUCAGAAAGCCACGGCUAACUACGUG
Molecule: ribosomal RNA, 497 nt
Filed under: uncultured bacterium
Lineage: Bacteria
Description: partial 16S ribosomal RNA
Rfam family: Bacterial small subunit ribosomal RNA
Source: RNAcentral